AGGCUGAUUAAUGUAUUGGCAUCUGGCCCCAUGGAGAGAAAGAGCCGCCAUUGCUUUCGUAGACCUGUUCAUUUUCGUGAUCAUGGUACACCUGAGUACACAAACCGGAAGAAAAUAUUUUUUAAAAAAGUUGUUGCUCUACGGUGAGGACAGCAAGAGCGUAGUUCGACACAACCAAUACGAAAAUUCCUAAACGGAUUGCAGAGAGGCAAGCCAUGUUGUAGCAAAAAUAGACCAAUCGACAGUAACUCCUUAUUAUCCGGAUUUGGACCAAGUGACCAGGCGUAACACCUGCGGAGUGCAGAUGUUAAAACAAAUUGUGUGUCGCAUGCACUAGUAUGCCUAACGACCUUGUUUUUUUUUAAAUAGAAACCAAUCAGCAGUUAGUACCUGUUAAUCCCUUAUUAUUCAGAUUUGGACGAAGCGACCAGGUGUUAAAACAAAUUGUGUGUCAAUACUCUGGGCAUGCACUAGUGUGUAAUAUGCCUAACGACCUUGUUAUUAAUACGACAAUUUGCCUUGAAGGUAUUGUGUGAACAGCUGCGCUACGCGGAUGAUAAACGAAACGCCGAAAUUUUUGUAUUCGCAGCUACUAAUUUCCACCCAGGCAGCCUUAUCGAUGAAAAGCUGCUUUGCGGGAUUUCAGUCUGUU
Daphnia pulex (common water flea) is the source of this 652-nucleotide long non-coding RNA. RefSeq lists it as uncharacterized. NCBI's taxonomy places the organism in Eukaryota, Metazoa, Arthropoda, Branchiopoda, Diplostraca, Daphniidae. The transcript is spliced from 4 exons. The record is from RefSeq and is a predicted model, not a curated record.